This 253-nucleotide ribosomal RNA is filed under the name uncultured bacterium. RNAcentral's name for it is "partial 16S ribosomal RNA". It matches the Rfam family "Bacterial small subunit ribosomal RNA", at positions 524 to 776 of the family's 1533-position model. The record is from RNAcentral.
UACGUAGGGGGCAAGCGUUGUCCGGAAUCAUUGGGCGUAAAGCGCGUGUAGGCGGCUUAGUAAGUCUGCUCUGAAAGCCCGGGGCUCAACCCUCGGAUGCCGGUGGAUACUGUCGGGCUUGAGUACGGAAGAGGCGAGUGGAAUUCCUGGUGUAGCGGUGAAAUGCGCAGAUAUCAGGAGGAACACCAAUUGCGAAGGCAGCUCGCUGGGACGUUACUGACGCUGAGACGCGAAAGCGUGGGGAGCAAACAGG